GAUGAACGCUAGCGACAGGCUUAACACAUGCAAGUCGAGGGGCAGCAUGAUUUGUAGCAAUACAGAUUGAUGGCGACCGGCGCACGGGUGAGUAACGCGUAUGCAACUUACCUAUCAGAGGGGGAUAGCCCGGCGAAAGUCGGAUUAAUACCCCAUAAAACAGGGGUCCCGCAUGGGAAUAUUUGUUAAAGAUUCAUCGCUGAUAGAUAGGCAUGCGUUCCAUUAGGCAGUUGGCGGGGUAACGGCCCACCAAACCGACGAUGGAUAGGGGUUCUGAGAGGAAGGUCCCCCACAUUGGUACUGAGACACGGACCAAACUCCUACGGGAGGCAGCAGUGAGGAAUAUUGGUCAAUGGCCGAGAGGCUGAACCAGCCAAGUCGCGUGAAGGAAGAAGGAUCUAUGGUUUGUAAAACUUCUUUUAUAGGGGAAUAAAGUGGAGACGUGUGGGAGCUUGUAUGUACCUUAUGAAUAAGCAUCGGCUAACUCGUGCCAGCAG
This 497-nucleotide ribosomal RNA is filed under the name uncultured bacterium. RNAcentral describes it as "bacterial SSU rRNA". It matches the Rfam family "Bacterial small subunit ribosomal RNA", at positions 28 to 514 of the family's 1533-position model. The record is from RNAcentral.